This 259-nucleotide ribosomal RNA is filed under the name uncultured Leptotrichia sp. RNAcentral describes it as "partial 16S ribosomal RNA". It matches the Rfam family "Bacterial small subunit ribosomal RNA", at positions 96 to 355 of the family's 1533-position model. The record is from RNAcentral. Lineage: Bacteria; Fusobacteriati; Fusobacteriota; Fusobacteriia; Fusobacteriales; Leptotrichiaceae.
UGGCGGACGGGUGAGUAACGCGUAAAGAACUUGCCCUUUAGACUGGGAUAACAGAGGGAAACUUCUGAUAAUACUGGAUAAGUUAGUAUAUCGCAUGAUAUGCAAAUGAAAGCUACGGCACUAAAGGAGAGCUUUGCGUCCUAUUAGCUAGUUGGUAAGGUAAGAGCUUACCAAGGCGAUGAUAGGUAGCCGGCCUGAGAGGGUGGACGGCCACAAGGGGACUGAGAUACGGCCCUUACUCCUACGGGAGGCAGCAGCA